Echinostoma caproni is the source of this 45-nucleotide non-coding RNA. The record is from Rfam. Lineage: Eukaryota; Metazoa; Platyhelminthes; Trematoda; Plagiorchiida; Echinostomatidae.
GAACUGCUGACGAGUCCCAAACGGGACGAAACAACUGUCCAGUGC